RNAcentral lists this long non-coding RNA (2119 nucleotides) under Gallus gallus (chicken). RNAcentral describes it as "lncRNA (ENSGALG00010022410.1)". The record is from RNAcentral. Lineage: Eukaryota; Metazoa; Chordata; Aves; Galliformes; Phasianidae.
ACUUCCACAAUUCAAACUUCUCAGGCUUUUUUGGGGGAGAGGUGGGCUGGUUGUGUGAGUGCAGCCCUUGAGCUGGGUGCGCGGCAAUCCGAGGAUGCUCUCUUCAAGAAGCGUCAGUGCAGGAUGCAAAAACUGGAAUUAAAAAAGGCUGUAUUUUCUGGACAAACGGCAGAUUUUGAGCAGCUUGCCUUAUCUGGGGGCCCUCCUGUCACUCGAACAACUUAGGGACACUAAGACCUACAUGCCAUUUACUGGGCUGAUCUGCACCCAGAAGAAUGGUGGGUUUAGGGGCUUUCUUUUCCUGUUACACAAGAAUUUUUGUGCUCAUAAAGGUGUGCUCACUGCAUAAAACGCUUAUUGUUUUGAAAAAGGGGAGAAUUAAUCAUACUCUACAGUAAAGCAUAUGGAUAACCAGGAGCAGUAAUUCAUUAAGCAGUAUUCAAUCAAACACCCGUGUUUGUGACCUCUGGUUACACACAUUUCCAAGUGCUGGUACACUGUUUUCUUAAACCUCCAAAGCUUGUAACUGUGAGAGCCUCUGCAUGCCUCAAAAUUACAGACUAGCAGGUGAGAGGGGCUGAAGAGACAAGAAGAACCUUCCAGUUGUUUUUGGAAAGUGGAAGGCUCUGCACAGGGAUGAUGUUUCCAAGAAGUCAAAUGUGCAUCACGGAGAGGGAAGGGGUUGUGUAUCACUCAGCCUUAAAACUGCCAUGAAGGGAAAGGACCUCUCUUGUCCAGCUACUGCUGCCAACACAAAGAAGUCAUAGGAUCAUAGAACGCCCCAGGUUUCUCGGGAGUACAACUAAAUGGGAGUGACUGGAGCAUAUCAAGGAGAUGUCACGUCAGCCCUGAAAGAAAACGAUCAGGGGAAAAAGGAACUAUCCGGUGCUUCUCUGGUUUUGUCCUGAAAUCUCACUGUGAGCAGUGGAAUGCUGCUGUGGGCAGGGAGCACGCCUGCUUCCUGCACGCCACACAGGCCCCAUGUGCCAUAAAGAUGUCAGCCCGGAGGCAGAGAUCAUCCCUCCAUUUGUUUAACAGCACUCCCCACGCACAGAGCCCAGCACAACGAGUUUCCAACGUCUGGGAAAAGUGUUUGCACCAGGCGGUCCAUCACCUGCAGAUCUGAUGCCCGGUACAGCCACGAGGGAAGGCGAUGGGUUUUCACCUGGUGUAAUUUACUGCUGGUCUUUUGGCCUCAAAACAGCGAGACAGGUCCAGACCCUCCGUUUGAAUUCCUGUAAAUCUGAGGGCCGUGGCAGAACGCUCCACCUGAAGCAAUGGGCCCUUCCCGCUGCGAUUUGCUGCUAUGAAUUGCUUUCCUCAGUGCCUGUGACAAAUUUUUAUUGAUGUCAAUGCGAGCCAAGGACCUGAAGCAAGAUCUGCUUCUGCUACUGAUUAAAAGAAAAAGAAUGAGGGGAGGAAGGAGAGAGAAAACCGAAGCGUUCCGUAACAUAUUUAAGUAUUAACGUUGCCACAGUUUUAUUAUCUGUAUAGUGAAAGUAAACACAAAACGAUUGAAAUACAUCUCAGUGGCAUCUACGUCCAAUUUCUCUCUGCUUGUUGCAUUUUCUUGGAAUUACUCAUUUAUUUUGAUCACAAAAACAUUUAAAGUAAUUUGUCGAGAGUUAAAUAAAUACAAAAAAAAAUCUGUAUUUGCAUAUUACUUGAAUUUAUGAGCUUUUAUAAAUCUAUUUCGUGAAAAACUAAUUACAGCGAUGGCUGAGUGAGAAGCAGCGCUAUAGAAGACUUAAUUCAAACUACAUUUUUGUUAUAAACUCCUGUUUUAAUUUUCUAGCUUCGCUGAAUAACUACAAUUCGCAGCUGUAGCAAAGUGCCUCAUAUAUAAUGUAUAGAUCACAUCCUCUUGCCAUUUUUCACAGGUGCCUGGCUAUUAUACGGUUCGGAAUUCAUUCAUAGUGCCUAUUAGAGGUCUUUAUAUGUAACCGACUUCCUUUCUUGAAUAUUUAUAGCUUUUAUGAGACAUUUAUGGGCAGACCCAACAAGAGUUUCUAAGGAAAUACUGGGAAAUAUUUCUGUAUAACAUCAUUAAUAUACUGUUCUUUGAUGGUAAUGGCUACAAAUGUCAUCUAAUUGCUAUAUUCUUGCUUUGUCUAAGCUU